This 438-nucleotide ribosomal RNA is filed under the name uncultured bacterium. RNAcentral describes it as "bacterial SSU rRNA". It matches the Rfam family "Bacterial small subunit ribosomal RNA", at positions 954 to 1392 of the family's 1533-position model. The record is from RNAcentral.
GCUUAACGCGAAGAACCUUACCUACUCUUGACAUCCAGAGAACUUAGCAGAGAUGCUUUGGUGCCUUCGGGAACUCUGAGACAGGUGCUGCAUGGCUGUCGUCAGCUCGUGUUGUGAAAUGUUGGGUUAAGUCCCGCAACGAGCGCAACCCUUAUCCUUUGUUGCCAGCGAUUCGGUCGGGAACUCAAAGGAGACUGCCAGUGAUAAACUGGAGGAAGGUGGGGAUGACGUCAAGUCAUCAUGGCCCUUACGAGUAGGGCUACACACGUGCUACAAUGGCAUAUACAAAGAGAAGCGACCUCGCGAGAGCAAGCGGACCUCAUAAAGUAUGUCGUAGUCCGGAUUGGAGUCUGCAACUCGACUCCAUGAAGUCGGAAUCGCUAGUAAUCGUGGAUCAGAAUGCCACGGUGAAUACGUUCCCGGGUCUUGUACACACCG